This 906-nucleotide unclassified non-coding RNA is filed under the name Hevea brasiliensis (rubber tree). The record is from RNAcentral. Lineage: Eukaryota; Viridiplantae; Streptophyta; Magnoliopsida; Malpighiales; Euphorbiaceae.
CCUUGUUUCCUUUCAUUGAAUGAAUUUGUCUCUCCAUAUCUGCCUCAGUUGCUCCGUAUGCGUUUGCCUCCAAUCGUAGUUUCUAGGCCACCUGCCUCUUUAUUUCCUAACAAUGAUUCCUUCGUUAAUUCCAAAGCUCCUCAUUUCCUCCAUAAAUCCAUCACCACCUCGUCUCUCUUUCCUUUCAUAACAUAAAUCAAACCAAGCCAAACACACCACAAUCACGCUUUCUCGCUUCUCACUUCUCGCUACUCACUUUUCUCUCUGCUUCCAUUUUCCAUAACGAUGGCUCCGAUCAAAAUCAAGCAAUCGCCUAAUCCCACGGCUCAGACUCUAACCUCUACGGCGUCGUCACAGGAGGCACGUCUCCUCGUCCGUGAAACGCUGCGUAUUAGCGCUAACUUAGCUUCGGCUUCUUCUCCUGCAAUGUCUCAGCCUCCUUCUACUUCUCCUUCUUAUUCAAUUGUUUCUCCGGCGCAGUCUGUUUCUUUGAUUGGAUAAUAGUCGGAGAUUAGGGCUUGUGGAAGAGGAGUUUAUUGAUUCGAGCUUGAGAUUGAUCUGUUGCGAGGAAAUCGAUGGUCGGAAAUGGAAGUACGUGGCCGAAAACGACGGUUUUGGACGUUAUAAGAAGAAUUCGAUUCGUGCUGUCAGCUUGCAGACACCUCAAGCUCCUGUUGAGGAAAUAAUGUCAUUCAUAAGAACCUAUGUAGUGCCAGAAGGUUUUCCUGACAGUGUUACUCCAUCAUAUGUGCCAUACAUGACUUGGAGAGCUUUGAAGCAUUUCUUUGGUGGAGCAAUGGGUGUUUUCACAACAAAAACCCUUUUGAGUUCAGUUGGAGUCUCUAAAAGCAAAGCUAUUCCUGGUGCCGUUGCUAUCAAUUGGAUUCUCAAGGAUGGUGCUGGUCG